Non-coding RNA from Caretta caretta (loggerhead turtle), 288 nucleotides. The record is from RefSeq and is a predicted model, not a curated record. NCBI's taxonomy places the organism in Eukaryota, Metazoa, Chordata, Testudines, Cheloniidae.
GAGCUCUUGGCGAUUCUCCUGCAGGAUCCCUCUGGUUACAUAGUAGACGCAGAACACUGAGAAGGAGAAAGGCAGUGGAAGAAGGCACUUUUGGAACCAGAUAUCACUCAAAGGAGACCAGGGAUGACCAGAAGUACUAUGCACGUUGACCUGCCCAAAUUCUGUGAUGGGUUAGAGCAUAAGAAAUUUAAACCGGAGCUGACAGUGUGUGCACAGCCGUCUGGCCAAGCGAUGGCAUCUUCAGUGGCGUGAUGCAGUGCGUCUAGGCUACCGCUGAACCUGGGCAGC